UACGGAGGGUGCGAGCGUUGUCCGGAAUCACUGGGCGUAAAGGGCGCGUAGGCUGCGGGGCAAGUCGGGUGUGAAAUCUCAGAGCUCAACUCUGAAACUGCACUCGAUACUGCUUUGCUUGAGGACUGGAGAGGAGAUUGGAAUUCACGGUGUAGCAGUGAAAUGCGUAGAUAUCGUGAGGAAGACCAGUGGCGAAGGCGGAUCUCUGGACAGUUCCUGACGCUGAGGCGCGAAGGCCAGGGGAGCAAACGGG
This 253-nucleotide ribosomal RNA is filed under the name uncultured bacterium. RNAcentral's name for it is "partial 16S ribosomal RNA". It matches the Rfam family "Bacterial small subunit ribosomal RNA", at positions 524 to 776 of the family's 1533-position model. The record is from RNAcentral.